CAGCCGCCGCGGUAAAACCAGCACCUCAAGUGGUCAGGAUGAUUAUUGGGCCUAAAGCAUCCGUAGCCGGCUCUGUAAGUUUUCGGUUAAAUCUGUACGCUCAACGUACAGGCUGCCGGGAAUACUGCAGAGCUAGGGAGUGGGAGAGGUAGACGGUACUCGGUAGGAAGGGGUAAAAUCCUUUGAUCUAUUGACGACCACCUGUGGCGAAGGCGGUCUACCAGAACACGUCCGACGGUGAGGGAUGAAAGCUGGGGGAGCAAACCGGAUUAGAUACCCGGGUAGUCCCAGCUGUAAACUAUGCAAACUCAGUGAUACAUUGGCUUGUGGCCAAUGCAGUGCUGCAGGGAAGCCGUUAAGUUUGCCGCCUGGGAAGUACGUACGCAAGUAUGAAACUUAAAGGAAUUGGCGGGGGAGCAC
Molecule: ribosomal RNA, 420 nt
Filed under: uncultured Nitrososphaerota archaeon
Lineage: Archaea; Thermoproteati; Nitrososphaerota
Description: bacterial SSU rRNA
Rfam family: Archaeal small subunit ribosomal RNA
Source: RNAcentral